UCAAGUCUUAGCACAUGCAGUCGAGCGGAUGAGUGAGAGCUUGCUCCAUGAUUCAGCGGCGGACGGGUGAGUAAUGCCUAGGAAUCUGCCUGGUAGUGGGGGACAACGUUUCGAAAGGAACGCUAAUACCGCAUACGUCCUACGGGAGAAAGCAGGGGACCUUCGGGCCUUGCGCUAUCAGAUGAGCCUAGGUCGGAUUAGCUAGUUGGUGGGGUAAAGGCCUACCAAGGCGACGAUCCGUAACUGGUCUGAGAGGAUGAUCAGUCACACUGGAACUGAGACACGGUCCAGACUCCUACGGGAGGCAGCAGUGGGGAAUAUUGGACAAUGGGCGAAAGCCUGAUCCAGCCAUGCCGCGUGUGUGAAGAAGGUCUUCGGAUUGGAAAGCACUUUAAGUUGGGAGGAAGGGCAGUGAGUUAAGACCUUGGUGGUUUG
RNAcentral lists this ribosomal RNA (435 nucleotides) under Pseudomonas sp. RNAcentral's name for it is "bacterial SSU rRNA". It matches the Rfam family "Bacterial small subunit ribosomal RNA", at positions 42 to 475 of the family's 1533-position model. Lineage: Bacteria; Pseudomonadati; Pseudomonadota; Gammaproteobacteria; Pseudomonadales; Pseudomonadaceae. The record is from RNAcentral.